UCCAAUAUUCUCAAGUGCCCAGUUGGCACCAAAGGCAACAUUAUUCUCUAGCGUCAACAUAAAAUCACUAGAAUGAUUUCUGAAAUUGACCCUCGGAAUCUGCCGGCAAAAUUCUGAAACUGACCGAAGGCUUUCCAGGGUUCAAUGUUGUUUCUGGAAACCCUUGCGAGGGACCGAAGGGGUGGGCUGAAAGAGCAGAAGAAGAAGAAGUCAACGAGGUUAGUUUUCCUCUGAUGAUCAAUGAGGAAGAUGAUGGAAACCUGUUUCUGCCUAUGUUCUCUGUUUUCCGCAUUCCGACUUUUCUUUCCAGACAGCCUAAAAUUGCUUCUGUUGGAAGUGUUUAUAGCCGAACUGUUCUCCAAAAGCAUGCCAUGUUGCAUCUCUGGAUUGAGCAUUCAUGCUCAGAUGAUACUCUUAAGGAAUAAUCU
Long non-coding RNA from Tarenaya hassleriana, 428 nucleotides. RefSeq lists it as uncharacterized. Lineage: Eukaryota; Viridiplantae; Streptophyta; Magnoliopsida; Brassicales; Cleomaceae. The record is from RefSeq and is a predicted model, not a curated record. The transcript is spliced from 3 exons.